This is a long non-coding RNA of Vicia villosa (hairy vetch), 535 nucleotides long. RefSeq lists it as uncharacterized. Lineage: Eukaryota; Viridiplantae; Streptophyta; Magnoliopsida; Fabales; Fabaceae. The record is from RefSeq and is a predicted model, not a curated record. The transcript is spliced from 3 exons.
UCUUUCUCUUCUUCCGGCUCUCUCUGUUCUUCCUCACUUCUUUCCUCUUCCUCCCUCUUUUUUUCGUCAUCCCUCUAUUCUUUUCCUUUCAAACCCUAGGUAUAGGAAUAAAAAUUCAUCAUUGUUGCUUAUGAGUGAUGAGCACAACAUAAAAAGAAGAGGCUUGGAUGCACCGAAAACAAGUGUGUAGUGGUGUGAAGAUGUUCAUGUUCAUUUCCUUCUUCCAGAUCCAGUUUCUUCCCUUUUCAUAUGAGUGUAUGAGCUAGCAACUACUGCAAAAUUGGAAUAGAAGUGGUGGAAUCAACCAUGCUGUUGAACAUUAUAAAAAGAUUGGCUACCCACUUGCUGUAAAGCAUUACUACUGAUCUGGAAGCAGCAGAUGACACCCUUCCAUGAUAUUUUAUCUUGAAAAGUUUGUUUUAAAUAGUUUCAAUAGUUUACUGGUAGAGCUUGAUUUAAUUUACUACUGUAAAAUGAUUGAACAUUCAGAAUAUAACAUAAAAUUAUUGAACAGUCGCAAGGGAGAGAUGUUGGG